AAAAAAAAAAAAAAUUUAGCUGACCUAAUCAGAUUUACAUUUUAAACAUAUAAUUGUCUAUACGGCGGGGAGACUGGCUUGGAAUAAGGCAAUAGUGAAUGGGGCUGACCAGCAAGGAGGUUUUGCCAUCAACCAGGUCUAGUUCUCAGCUCAGAGCAGCCUUCUCUGCCAUUACUCCUGUUACCAUCCCCAUACUCACAGAAGCUAAGGAAGCUGUACAAGCCAGACACAAGUAUUUGGGUGAAGUGACAGAGGUGGAGGGAGAGGAGAUUGACCUAGUUACCCUGUGAUGCUUUCAUCAGCUCCUAAGAGAAGGAGAAUAGAGACAAAGGUAGAAUAGAUGGCUUGAGGUGCAUGGACGGAUAAUUUGGAGGAAUGAAAAUAGUACUGAUUAUGACUGAAUAAAAGAUGCUGAACAGCAUCCCACUUUUGGGUAUGUGUCUAACGAAUUGAAAGCAAUGAAUUGAAUUGAAUUGAAAGCAAUGAAUUGAAUUGAAUUGAAAGCAAUGAAUUGAAUUGAAUUGAAAGCAAUGAACUGAAUUGAAAUUGAAAGCAAAGAAUUGAAUUGAAGAGCUAUUUGCACACUCACGUUCAUAGCAGCAUUAUGUACGGUAGUCAUGAAAACAGACCAAAUGUCCACUGACAGAUGAAUGAACUAAAUGUGAUAUAUACAAGCAACGAAAUAUCAUUCAGUCUGAAAAAGGAAGGAGAUUCUGACACAUGCUACCCAUGGAGAAAAGUUGACGUUAUGCUGAGUGAAAUAAAUCAGUCAGACAAACACGGUAGGAUUCCACAUAUAGGAGGUAUCUAAAGUAGUCAAAUUCACAGGAACAGAGAGUAGUGGUUUCUGAGGGCUGGAGGAAGAGGGGAAUGUAGAGUUAUUGUUUAAUGGAUAUAGCAUUUCAAUGUUCUAAGAUGAGAAAGUUCUAGAAAUCUGUUGCACAAUAAUGAAUAUGCAAACAUUUAUGAACUGUACAUUGGAAAAUGGUUAAGAUUCUAAAUUUUAUGUUAUGUAUAUUUUAAAACAAAAAAGAUGCCAAACAGAAUACGUAGUCUAGGAGAGGAUGGCAAGAGAAAUUUGUGGUAGCCAUGGAGCAAGGUUUUAUUUUCUCAAUAGUAUAAAUGCUACAACAAGGAAAAUUGUCAGCUGGAUUUCGAGUGUGGUGGCAGGGGGCUAGGGAAAGGCGUUGUCUGGAUGAAUAGAGAAUAUCUUGAGGAUGAGGGAAUGGAGUUUGUGGGUUGCAAGUCGGCUAAAACAACAAAGUGGGAAGAUCCAGAAUGUAUAAAUGUUAGAUCAGGAACUCCAGAAACCUUAACUAACUGCAAUUAAAAUUAAAAACAAAAAAUGAAAAAAACUCUAAGAGUUCAUUGACUCUAAGAAAAAAAAAAUCCUGAAAAGCAAAUGUUUUUGUUAAAAGAUAAAAUUUAUUUGAGUAACCACUGUACACAUUAUUAAAGGACACAGAGCUUUGACAAAACUGCCAAGGAAAUAUCCAGAGCCUGAAUUGUACACCAAAACCUUACAGUGAAAACUUGACUCUUAUAAGGAAAAAAAAAAUGUGCAAAUUGGAAUUACUGAGUGAUUAUGGAAAGGCAAAGUAUACAUUGUGGAAAAAGAACAACAA
Molecule: long non-coding RNA, 1625 nt
Organism: Neofelis nebulosa (Clouded leopard)
Lineage: Eukaryota; Metazoa; Chordata; Mammalia; Carnivora; Felidae
Exons: 2
Source: RefSeq, a predicted model, not a curated record